Triticum urartu is the source of this 896-nucleotide non-coding RNA. Lineage: Eukaryota; Viridiplantae; Streptophyta; Magnoliopsida; Poales; Poaceae. The record is from RefSeq and is a predicted model, not a curated record.
GUCAACGCGGCGACUCGAGUGGCUGGGGGUGGCGCGGCUGCUCGAUGUAGAGCGGCGGGGGCGGCUGGAUCGGCGGUGGCAGCUGGAGCUUGCAGAACGGCGGCGGCGGAGGCUGGAGCUUGUAGAUCGGCGGGCCAACCUGAGCAACAGCUCCAAGGAGGACGCCACCAGGUGCCUGGUAUGGCUGGGGGACCUCAUCGACGCCAAGAAGUUGGCAGGCAGUGCUGCUGGCAGCGACACACUGCUCCUCCCUGUCGUUGGCGUGGUUACUGCAGGUACCACACAAAUUAACCUUCCCCAUAGUAAUAUUCGAUCAUUGUGAGUUUGCUGGAAUUUGUACCACAAACAUUGUCUGAUAACAUCAAUCUGAAUCUCUCAAGACAGGAAGAAAGAGAAAACAUGAUGAAAAUUUGUUGCCGGUUUUAGCAGGCAUGCUGGUGCUCACAUGCUUAUCCAUUGUGAUAUGGGUUUGCAGGUCCAAAGACACAGUGUACUAUGCUCAUGCAUAUGUGACAUAAACCAAUUCUGCAUUAUGCUGCUCAAUGCUCGCAAAUACUGCAAAAUUACUAGGCCUAGGAGAUUUGAGCACUUGUGAAGGUUUUGGGACACGAAGCCCCAUUGAAGGUGGUUUUGGCAACGUCCAAUGUCGCCGCUGUGGAGUUCACUGGAAGAAGAACAUCGGUCGAGCAUUCCAAUGUCGCCUCCGCCGAGUUCGCCACCGAGCCAUCCAAUGUCGCCUCUGCUGAGUUCACUGGAGGAAGAACAUCCGCCGUCUGAACGUGCUACACCAGAGGUAUGUAUCAGCUUUUCCCAAAUUAGUCCAACGUUGUGGUAUGUAUCAGCUUUUCCCAAAUUAGGCCAACGUUGUUGGAUAUUGCUUCAAUCAAAAACAAUCU